RNAcentral lists this long non-coding RNA (676 nucleotides) under Phoenix dactylifera (date palm). RNAcentral describes it as "long non-coding RNA (PDAC_LNC019596)". The record is from RNAcentral. Lineage: Eukaryota; Viridiplantae; Streptophyta; Magnoliopsida; Arecales; Arecaceae.
UUAAUCUUCUCCUUAUAUGUAUUAUGAUGCAAAAGCAUCACACACACAUCUUAGGCCACUGUCAUAGGGUCAAGGUACGAGAAAGAGUCAAAAUCCUCCUUCACUAAAAAUUUCACUGAAGCGUGAGUCAACCCCAACCUCAGGAGUCGACCCCGACCACAGAGCCGUAAAACUUCAUUUUUUGGACUUUCAGAGAGAGUCGACCUGCCCCAAGUCGAUUCCAGUUGACCUCGAGUCAACUCCGGCACGUUUUGAAGCGACUCCCACCAUUUUCUCACUUUUUUUCAUCUCGGAUGAACAGUAACCUGGACUGACAGUGGGUCACUUCAUCCCGGUUUUGAUCUACUUUUCGAACUCCAAAUUUUAUGAAUUUUUACCUAACAUUCUACACUCAUAGAGGAUUCCAAAGAGGUAUCAUGCAUUACUAUCGGAGGCCGUUUGACCUCCAAAACAAUUCGCUGAAGUUGGGACUUCGACAUAGUUUUUCUGUAGUGCCGGAAAAAUUUGUCGAAAUCCGAUUCUUCCUCUUUUAACCACCUCUACAACUCUUAUCCGACCCCUCUAGACUACAUCCACCCUUUGUAUAGCCUAAUAUCAUCAAAAGACUAAAUAGGGAUGGAUAUUUACCUUUUUCUUUUUAGAAAUCGAGGUCUUUGCGUAGAGGGGAAGGAGAUCU